RNAcentral lists this ribosomal RNA (305 nucleotides) under uncultured bacterium. Its description in RNAcentral is "bacterial SSU rRNA". It matches the Rfam family "Bacterial small subunit ribosomal RNA", at positions 335 to 657 of the family's 1533-position model. The record is from RNAcentral.
GGUCCUACGGGGGGCAGCAGGGGGAAUAUUGCACAAUGGGGGAAACCCUGAUGCAGCAACGCCGCGUGAGUGAAGAAGUAUUUCGGUAUGUAAAGCUCUAUCAGCAGGGAAGAAGAAAGACGGUACCUGACUAAGAAGCCCCGGCUAACUACGUGCCAGCAGCCGCGGUAAUACGUAGGGGGCAAGCGUUAUCCGGAUUUACUGGGUGUAAAGGGAGCGUAGACGGCAUAGCAAGUCUGAAGUGAAAGCCCGUGGCUCAACCGCGGAACUGCUUUGGAAACUGUUAAGCUGGAGUACUGGAGAGG